RNAcentral lists this long non-coding RNA (395 nucleotides) under Amphimedon queenslandica. RNAcentral's name for it is "uncharacterized LOC109589568". The record is from RNAcentral. Lineage: Eukaryota; Metazoa; Porifera; Demospongiae; Haplosclerida; Niphatidae.
AUUUGUGCUGCUCCAGGAUAGCGCUUGCUUUUGAUAUAUAGCCUAUUCCACAUAGAAUUUUUAGAGCUACCUGUAGCAAGGUUUUUAUCUCCAAAAAGCCAUUUUGCAACCAGUUAGAGGUACACAAAGUCGCCUGUUUUUGAAACACUUUAUCUUUCGUAAAACACUCAAGCUUCAUUGUAUCAAUAUGCAACUCAAGAACAAAAUGAGUCUCUCAGAGGGGGAAAAGAUGGUUUUUUUAGUUAAAGAGUGACGCGGCUACUAACGCAUGCAUUGAUUUACUGAACAAAAAAUAUUAAUAAAAAGCAUAAACAUUGGUUAAUAUUGUGUGUGAGUUUUGUUUCCAUGAAUUGUAUUCUCUUGGAGUUAUUCAAGAAUAAAGCAAGAAAAUCUCA